CCAUUAUGAAAAAUAUUUAAAUAGGAAAAGACUCUUCGCUUUCCCACAGAAGAACCAGUCUCUUACCAAAAACAACUUUUUUUCCCUGAUUUCGACCCUAAAUUGUUUGAUUUUCCUAGCCAUGAGCGGCUAAUUCGCCGUUCAUAGGCUCUGAUGGGAAAACCGUUACACAAGUUCAUAGAGAUUCAUAAGUUCUAGGGGGGAUAUGGAAUUCUUCAUGGAGGUGGGGUUUUUCAAAUCUACUGCUAAGAUUCCUAUAUUCUGCAACUCAACAUGAUAUCUUUGAAAGGAGAAGAAUAAUUGGUAUUUUACCAAAUCAGUGUGGGUUAUCUGUUCUGGCAUCAUCACAGUUAACUAGACAUUCUCUAUUUACUUAUUCAUCUUGCUCCGCUGUUUUUUUAGGUCCAUGCUCUUUUCUACUCCCCUUAUGCUAUCUUCCCAGUGCCCUGUGUUAAACCAAUUUUAAUCUGUCUUACAUUUAUUGUCAGGCUUCAUAUAAUAUAUCUUCUUGUUCUUUCCUUACCUGCUAGUUGUGUAUAAUUUCCUUUCUCCUGUUUGUUGUACUACUGUCCACAAAUCAACUUUGAGGAUUUUUUCUCUUC
Long non-coding RNA from Papaver somniferum (opium poppy), 602 nucleotides. RefSeq lists it as uncharacterized. The record is from RefSeq and is a predicted model, not a curated record. The transcript is spliced from 2 exons. NCBI's taxonomy places the organism in Eukaryota, Viridiplantae, Streptophyta, Magnoliopsida, Ranunculales, Papaveraceae.